GACGAACGCUGGCGGCGUGCCUAAUACAUGCAGGUCGAGCGGACUAGCGUUUCCUUCGGGAAACGCGGGUUAGCGGCGGACGGGUGAGUAACACGUGGGUAACCUGCCUUUAAGACUGGGAUAACAUUCGGAAACGGAUGCUAAUACCGGAUAAACGAUUUGGUCGCAUGAUCGAAUCGAGAAAGAUGGAGCAAUCUAUCACUUAGAGAUGGACCCGCGGCGCAUUAGCUAGNGGU
RNAcentral lists this ribosomal RNA (236 nucleotides) under uncultured bacterium. RNAcentral's name for it is "partial 16S ribosomal RNA". It matches the Rfam family "Bacterial small subunit ribosomal RNA", at positions 28 to 252 of the family's 1533-position model. The record is from RNAcentral.